RNAcentral lists this transfer RNA (83 nucleotides) under Parcubacteria group bacterium ADurb.Bin316. RNAcentral's name for it is "tRNA-Leu". It matches the Rfam family "tRNA". From Rfam's summary of the family: Transfer RNA (tRNA) molecules are approximately 80 nucleotides in length. Their secondary structure includes four short double-helical elements and three loops (D, anti-codon, and T loops). Further hydrogen bonds mediate the characteristic L-shaped molecular structure. tRNAs have two regions of fundamental functional importance: the anti-codon, which is responsible for specific mRNA codon recognition, and the 3' end, to which the tRNAs corresponding amino acid is attached (by aminoacyl-tRNA synthetases). tRNAs cope with the degeneracy of the genetic code in two manners: having more than one tRNA (with a specific anti-codon) for a particular amino acid; and 'wobble' base-pairing, i.e. permitting non-standard base-pairing at the 3rd anti-codon position. The record is from RNAcentral.
GCGGAUGUGGCGAAACUGGUAGACGCACAUGCCUUAGGAGCAUGCGAGGAAACUCAUGAGAGUUCGAGUCUCUCCAUCCGCAC